ACCCCCCCCCACCAACAAACGUGCUGGAUAAUGAGGAUGUUACUUCAGUGCAGAAACAGUUUCAAAUCAUUGCCUGAAGGGUGGGAUGUGACCCUCCCUGGGUCCAUUGGAUCGCCGUGUCUGGCUCUGCGCUCCCCAGGACAAGGGACAUGGGGCUCCUGGAGCAGAUCCUGCCGCGGCUGUGCAGCUCAUGAGGGGACUGGGGCAUCUCUCUUACGAGGAAAUGGCGAAUGGUUGGACUCUGUGAUCUUAGAGGUCUUUUCCAAGCUAAAUGAUUCCAUGGUUCUGUGGAAGGCUGAGGGAGCUGGGGCUGUUCAGCCUCCAGAGGAGCCCCAGCUGAGAGGGGCCCUCAGCCCUGGGUGUCCCUGUGUGCAGGGAGAGCAGGGACCAAAAAUGGCACCAGAGGAAUGGGCACGAACUGAUGCUCAGCAAGUUCCACCUGAACAUGAGGGAAAACUUUCCUGUGGGGGAACAGAUUGCCCAGAAAAGGUGUGCAGCCUCCCUAACUGGAGAUAUUCCAGACCCAUCUGGAGAUGAGCCGGUGCCACGUGCUCUGGGAUGACCCUGCUGGAGCAGGGAGGUGGCACCAGGUGACUGUGAUCCCUUCCAAGCUCACCAUGAUUCUGUGAUUCUGUGAAUCUUUUAAGGCUUGGGGCUGUCCCAUUGCAUGAAAUAGUUAACUAACUUUGUGAAAACAAUGUUAAUUGCUAAAAUAAUAACAAAAGCUGUAUGGCAGUUGUACUGUGGAGCUUUGAAUGUGUAUAUUACUCAAGGGAUAUAAGCAAGCAUGAAGACACUUCUUCCUGCCAUGAGGAUGUAAUGCCAGUGUGUAAUACCAGAGCAGCUGAAGGGAAAGGAAGAGGAGAAGGAAAGGGAGAGGAGAGAAAUUGUGUUCAUCUUUUUACAAGCUCGUUGUCUGCACUUGUAAUUCAAGAGCAAAGGAACUUUGGUGAUUUUUUCUUAAACCUGAUCAAAGCAGGAUGUGUAACACAAGCAAAAAGACAGCUCAUCCCUUCGUUCAGCUCUGCCCCACAGAGAUGCUGAAUUACAUCAAAUACCUGCUUUAGAUAUGGUGAUUGACCUUUGUCAGUGCAUUUUACAAAGAAAAGUUAUCACCCUCCCUGUCAAAUGUUACUUUGUCAACUCUACACUGAAAUGGAGUGAAUUUAAUUGCAUGUUCCCUUGUUCUUUAUGAAAGGAAAAUAUGAAUAAGAACACCUGGUUAGUCCCUUCUGUGCUGCCUUUGCCUUUGAAGGAACAUCUGUUUUUUUCCUUUGGUGGUUAUGAUAAAUUGUAGACUCAACUGGAUUUCAGAGAAUGUGGUGAGAUAGUAAUUCCCUCAAGGUGCUACUUUGAGGUCCAUGUGUUUCCAGAAAAUGUCUCUAUUCCAUGUCAGAAAUGCAAAAAAAAAUCUAAUUAUAGCAAAGUUUUGGACUGAAAGCUUCUAGGUUGUCCUCAUGCGUGUAAAUGGCAAGUUAGAAGUACAAAUAAUCUGUUUAAAGCCUUUUCUUAAAGCCUGUAUUUUUCUCUGGUUCACGCCAUCAGUUUGAUUUGGUUUCUCUAAUGUUCCCCAAAGGAAGGAACUCACCUGGGAGUCUUUUUGUGAAAUCCACCAACACCUGGACAUGGACAACAGCUGUCUCAGACAGGUGGAGGAAACUUUCCUCAGGACUUGCAGUUUCCUGUAGCUGCAAAAAGAGCAUUUGCACACUGGAUAUAGCCAAGAGACCUGACAACAGUGACUGAGCAAUGCAGGCUGGGGGUGCUGGAUACCUACAAACUUCUUGGCUUCCUCAAGGGGAAUUGUGUAUUUCUGGUGUGCUGCUACAAUGUGGUCAAGAAGCUGAUGUUCUCCUGGAGUGAGUUCCAUCUUCUCUGGGAUCUGCUAAAAAAAAUAAACCAAUCAAAUCACAACGACUUGGAGUAAGGAUAAGUGAUAAAAAGAGAUAUUUUAAAUAGAAAAAUAUCCCACUUUUCCAGAUCUUGUUGUAGAUGAUACUUGCUUACUAUUCAGUCCCUCAUCUUCCAGCUUUAUGUUGCAAAGGAAACUGCUCUUCUGCUUGAAAUUCUUCCUGAGUCGCUUUGACUUGCACUGGACUUCAGUCAGCAAACCUGGGAGGUGUGAAGUGACCAUCAGUGCUUGCAUUUUCAAUUAAUUACAGUCUGAGGUCAUCGCUUUUAUUAGAGAUAACUCCAGUCUUGCAUCACAGAAGCUGUCACCUGUCAUGAGCUAUGUUUCCUAGAGAGUGUGCCUGGGUGUUACUUAUCAGGUGAGCUGAUGUUCAGUAGCCACCAGCCUGAGGGUCUGCAGGCAUUUUUGUCCUUGUGGCUCUGUGACACACAGGCAUCAGAAUUUUUUAUCAAAGCCCAUCAUGCCAUUUUUAUUUAAACUUUUUCCCUCAAACCCUAAAGUUGGUCUGGUCCGCUCACUGCUGUCCUGACAAGUCAGGGGAUAUUUAGCUUAUCUUGCUAGUACUUCCUUUUUUUUUUUUCUUGUACUGUCUUUAAAAACAGUUCUCUUAAGCUUCCCAAGCAUUGUUGGCUUCUGCACACCAAGAUGCUAAACGUGCCACCAUUAAUUAAGUUAAUUUUCACAGAAUCACAAGGUUGGAAGAGACCUUGAAGAUCAUUGAGUCCAACCCGUUCCCUAACACCUCAACUAAACCCUGGCACCCAGUGCCACAUCUAGGCUUUGUUAAACACACCCAGGGAUGGUGACCAAGAACUUUAUCACCCUUUGAAUGAAAAACUUUUUUAUAAUAUCCAACCUAUAUGUCCAUUGAGACUGUGACCUCUGGUUCUGUCAGUGCUGCCUGGAGAAAGAGCCCAACCCCACCUGAGCACAGCCACCUUUCAGGAGCUGUGCAGAGUGAUGAGGUCACCCCUGAGUCUCCUUUUCCCCAGGCUAAACAACCCCAGCUUUUCCCCCAUUUUCCUACAGCCAAACGAAGCUUAGACCAUUAUCCUCGGGAAGAGAUUGACUUUGGAGAAGGCUUUAUCUGCGGCGAUUAGUCAAGAAUGCAGCAGGAAGGAGCACUCACAUUCUGCCAGCAUCCCCACAGCCCUGCACUUCUUGAGGCGGCACUCCUGGCACUUCCUCCUCAUGUACAUGUCCAUCUCGCAGUGCCCGCCGCUCUUGCAGCGGUACACCGCGUUCUUGGUGAUGCUGCGCCGGAAGAAGCCUGGGAACGAGCACCAGCUUGUGAAAACAGGUUUGCUUGUGAAAAUUGAGAACGUUUAAUAAAGGACAGUAGGAGACAAGGACCACAGAGCAAAGGUUGUUACAGCCAGGUGCAUCUUGGCACUCAGUUACACUACACUGUUAUUUUUGGGGAUGCACCUUAAAUACCUUUUCCAUUACAUCAGCCUGUUGCAUAUCUAUAGACUCUUAUGUAUAUCUAUAAACGAGUUUACAUUUUUCAGGAACUAUUUUACAUGCCUUCUCUUUGGUCUGCUUUUUUAGAGCAUGUGUGUUUCUUGGCUGUGGUUUUGGCUCCUUCUCUUUAUCACUUCCAGUUUGGACCUUGGUCCACAAUGUUUUCAGGUGCUGAGUUCUGAUAGUUGGCAGAUCUGUAGCAGGUGUCUUUAUCUUAUGUUCACUGGAUGUUAUCUUAUUCAAGUAGGCAUUUUAACACAAGUAUACUUAUAUUAUACUUGUGUUAAAUAUAUUAUAUAUUUAACACAAUAUACUUAUAUUUCACUACUAUGUCUAAGCUUAAUUAACAACAGAAAUAAAAACUAUAUCUUUAUAGCAAAGUUACUUUAACAUCACACAUAUAAAAUCCAUUUUAAUAUUUGUGAAUAGCCAAUAUUAUAAUAUGUAUCUAUAACAAGGUGAUGGCUGGAGCAAUCGUAGGAGCUUUAUCUCACAAGGAUUUAAAAGGGUCCUCCAGGAUUGAAUGGUUGGGGUUUUUUAAAUGGAAACAUUACCUUGAUUUUAAAUCUGCUUUUAAAAAAUAUAGUUAUGUCUGGUUCUUUCUGACUGAUCUUAAUUGACAUUUUCCAUACAUGGAAUCAUAGAAUAUGCUGAUUUGGAAGGGACCCACAAAGAUCACCAAGUCCAUCCCCUGGCCCUGCACAGACACCCCCAAAUCCCAGCCUGUGCAUCACUGAGAGCAGUGUUCAAAUGCUCCUGGAGCUCUCGGGGCUGUGCCCGUUCCUGGGCAGCCUGAGCAGUGCCCAGCACCCUCUGGGGGAAGAACUUUUCCCUAAAUCCAGCCCUUCCCUCAAGUCCUGUGCCUGGUCACAGGGAGCAGAGAGCAGAGCUGCCCCUCAUGAGACAGCUCCCAUACCAGCAAGUUAAAAUAUGAUUAGUAAGUAAUUACUACUUGCUUUUAUUCAAUUAUAAUAAUAAGUGUAAUUAAUAACACUGAAAUAAAUUUCUAAGAAAUGUUCAUGAGAAAACCAGCACCUGCUUACACUGACACUAUUCUAGCGAGUCAUCAAUGCCAAAAUGAGAUGCUUAAAGUGCUCAUAUUGAACACAGACUGUGAAAAUAUUUCCUCAAAGAACGUUAUAAAAAUGCGAAUUUGGAGUGAGCUCGUUAGACAGGUGGUUCAUGGGAUAAAUGAAAAGCCAGUGCAGUAACAGCAGCUGAAAUGCGUGUGGCAGGUUGCACUUGGUGUCCCCGCUCACCUUUGCAGCCCUCGCAGAGUUGAAGCAAGGAAAAUAGCAUGGAAAGGCCAGCAUGGAAUAUCUGUUCUUCAUCAUCAUCCCAAGCAGUAACACACUUAGGGUGGGAGCCUUGAGCCCGAGUCACACAGACUGAGCUGACAGAAAAUGUCACCUGUGAAAAGCACACGCUGUUCCUGCUUCUGCUGCUACUGGGCAUUUUCACAUGUGAAGUCCUGAGCAGCCAGAUGUUUAAAAAGAAAGAAAAAAAGGAGGAAAAGAAGAAAAAAGGAAUAUUUUCACAUGGCAAACUGCUGUAUGGCUCGAGCAGCUAUUUCUAACUGAGAGCAUGCAGAGAAGGGAUGGAAUACUCACGGUGGCUGCAGGGAGCUCCUCUCCGCGGGGCCGCAGCGGCGGUGGCAGCUCUGCUGCAGCUGCAGCCCAGCAGGCCUUUCCCUAUUUAUCAGUUUGUGUGCACAGCCCGGGCUCCAGACACUCGGCAGAGCCACGCCGCGGCUCCGAGACACCAACUUCCCACACAGCUCCUCUGGGGUCGGAGCAAGGGCAGCUGCGAGCCCACAUAAAUCACAGCACAACUGGGUCAGCAGGGACAGGGGCCACGGGGACCCUCACGUCACUGCUUCCCAGAGCCCUGCCUGCCCAGCACUAGCACUCUGCUUUCCUGCUAGAAUUUGAAUUCUCCCAUUUUGGUUGCUGCACGUUGACAUGUCAGGGUGGUGAUGGAAAAUGCUCAGUUCCCAAGAGGGGAAAAUAUUGCAGUAGUAUUAUUUGGAGAUUUUUACGUGACAUAAUAAUUUAAUUUGGAGAGGCUGGAUCAGGCCAGGACCUCCAAACACCAAACACUUACCUUGUCCUCCGUGUUCUGAUCCAGACACUCUUCUGGCUCACUCUCAGUUCAUUGGCAAUCUCAGUUCAUCUUGCCAUUAACUCAGCAAAAUUUCAUUCUUAAACCCCAAGUAUUUCCAUUAUUAGUAACUUCUAACAAAUUAAUACUGCAAUUUGGUGUUUUCAUUGUUUCCUAGGUAGAUGUGACCUUUUGGGUAGGGAAUUUUCUUGUUAAGUAUCCUGCUGUUCCAGUGCUCCCAGCAGGUUGCAAUCUCCUCACUCCAGGAGGAGCUCACCUGCCUUCUGUAAGAUCUGUUCUCCAUUCACCUCAGAAAAACUGCUUCUGUUGGAUACUGCAUGGAAUUAGAUGGGAAAAGGAAAAUAUCAUUUCCUGUUGGGCAACUUACAGCAAAGUCACUUAAAAUACUCUUUUGGGACAGCAGCUUUUCGUGGAUAAACAGCCAUCACCCUUGAAAGGAGGGACACAUUUCUGUUCCACGGGCUCCAGAGAAGAGCUGCCCCAAGGCUGCUUAUUUCCAUGUGCCAUUUACAACUCUCUCUGUGGAGUGGAAUGGUUGAGUCUUUCAAGAACAAACAGCGUUGACUAAUAAAUGUUAUUUGAGCAUAUUAUGGAGUUUUCUAAGUUUUCAGAUUCCUGCAUUGAUCAUGUGUGGUGAUGGGGGGCUGCAACACAGUGAUUAUGCAGCAGAAAUGAAGAUAAUUAUGUUCUAAGCUUAAUUAUCCUCAGCACUCGUCUUUCUGGUAAAAGCAGCCUCAUUACAGAAACUUGCCAAGUUGUCAAAAAAACUUCAAUAGUAAAACUGAAAGUUUUACAAUUGAUAUAACAAUUUUUUUUCACAGAAGUAUCUCUUUCACAAUAUCCCAUUGACUUUUUCAUCCAGCCUUUCUCAUGAAAGUUGGAAAAACAAGCAGAGCUUUUUGAAAUAUUGUGGUUAGCUUUUAAAUGCUACUGACUUUUAUUUUUAGCAAUUUUUGCUGAUAGAAGGCACCUUACUGAUAAGCUGUUCAAAUUAGCUGUAGGAGGUGGGUAUUUAGAGCCUGUUGACUCUGGGGGACUUAAGCCUGAAGCCCAGGUUUUUAAAGGGCAUCAAAUCCCCAUUCUACUCAGUUUAUAAAGCCUGCUGGUUUCAGGGUAAAUUCAGUUUCUAAAGUCAGUAUAUAAAUAAGUUUAUGUGAUAACUAUAUAAAUGUUGUAGUAGAAAUGAAUUGCUGUAAUUAAGUAUUAGCCCAAGGUUAAUUAACUCCCACACUGUAGUAAAGAAAUUAUUUUGCAUAAUCAUGAAGUGAUUCAGACCAGGUGACUGGCUAAAUACAUAUAUUUAUGUAAAUAUAGAUAUUUGCAUUAUUUUAAUAAAUCACUGCUCCUAUUCAAAGCUUAGCAUGACAAAAAUGGGAGACUCGAGGGCACACUUGAGUCACCUAAAAUACUGCUGCAAAGAAGAGGAAAAUAAACUCUUUUCCAUGCUUGUAAAUAAUCAAAAACCAGAAAGGUUAUUUAGGAGUAAGGGAGAUUUAAAUUACAAACUAGAGAAAGCAAUUACUGUGGUAAAAAUAGCACUGGAACAAGUUCCUUGUACAAUCUUCUCCACUGGCUGUUUUGAAGAUCAGUUUGGGCAACCAGAUUGAACUCAAGAAUUGUUUUCUCUGGGUUGCUUUGGUUUGUAAAGAGGACGUUUUGCAAAGGACUUUGGAAAGCUCUCUUCCAGCUCUGUUUUCUGUUAUUUUUCUAUACCUACAUGAAUUCUGUGAAACAGUGCUGAAGUCUCUGGUCAGUAACAUGCCCAGAGCCACUUCAGUGGCAAAGGAAAUAAUACCAGACUCCAAGCUUGCCUUACUAGCAGUAAGUAAACAAAGUGUCACUGACAGAUACGGCCUGAAAAUAGGAGCUGAAGGAGUUCCUGCCACGAGCCAACAUCCAGAAGUGGCACUGAAGUGGGGAAAAAGGGACACACAUGUUUUCCAUGGAAAAUGAGCAGAUCUGGUGACAGCAGCCUGACCUGGACACUGCUGCAGCACUUGUGCAGCCUCCCUGCCACCAGUGCAGACUGGGAGCUCUGGGCAGCCCAAUCCCCGUGGAGAUUGGGCAGCUGGCUCCAAGGUCUGAUGGCAGAUGAGGAAAGAGCUUCCCUCGGUCCAUACCUGCUGAGAGAAUGCUUUUCAAGGUCAGCACAAUCCUUGUUCAUCUGGACUGGAGAUUCCUGAUGUCUGUGACUCAUUUGGUAACCGAAUAGUUAAAGGAAAUCACAUCGACUCCAGCUGGAUCUUCUCUACAUAAAUGACCCGUUUGGCUUGAUCUGCUAUUGGAUUGUUUACGUAACUUCAGUAAUUAACCACUAUCAGCCUCAUUAAUGAAACAUAAACCACCUCUUCUGCUCAUUUAUAAAGCAUUUGUCAAACAAAACUCAAACAAAGGGCAGAAUCUCAGCAAAGUAACAGCCCUGCAAGAGCUACUGAGCCCUGCCUGCAAGGCACAGCAGUCACUUUGUUGUUGUUUUCCAGUAGAACUGAAGCAGAAGUGAUGGCAUUGGCUAUUGCUCUUGGCUAACUUCUCCCCAAGCCAUCUGAGAUCUGUCACAUGAGGGCAAGGAUGCCUGGACAACUAUUUUGGCCAUUUCAGUACAAAAUACUGAUGUUCCAGCUCAUUACUGUAAAUCAUUAAAUGAUGAAAGCAAGAGUCAAAUACUAAAUGAUUAAAGCCCUCAGAAAACUAAUUGCUAAUUACAGUAAUUGUUGUUCUAUGUGAAAGGUUAUAUUAAAACAAUGAUUAUUUCAUUACCGGAUUAAAUCUUUGCUGUUUGUAAACUGUUCUGAGCAAUAUUACAGAAACAAUGCAGAUCAUGUAUCAAAAUGAUCCAACCUAAUCCUUACCUAUUUUUGUGUCAGAGAAAUAAAAUGGUUCAGAGCCAUAAAAUACACUGGGAGACGCAUCCAUGCCAAAAGUUUUGUGAUCUGAGACCUUGGAUUUCCUUUCCAAUUUGUUGAGGAACUCAUGAAAAAAAUCCACAAGUUUUCUGUUCCCUCUCUCUUCUGUUAUUUCUAGAUUUUCCAAAGGUUCAGGAAUGCUGGGGGAUUGCUCCUCAUGGUGUGGAUGAACCUCUCAGUCCUGGGUGAGAAGCAGCACAGAGCCUUGUGAGCACUGAUUGUGCCUGCUGGUGUUACCUUGCACAGGGAACAGCUCCCAUUUGGUGUUCUUUGGUGUGAGAUAAUAGAAAUACUCUUUGUUUUGCCUCAAAUGUAUCAGGCAAAUCCUCACAAUCAAAUUGGAUGAGAAGAUGGAAGUUCUUGUUAAAUUCUGAAAUGCUUUUGUGGGAUUAAAUGAUGAAAUAGCAGACCAGAGAGGAAAAACAA
Molecule: long non-coding RNA, 8826 nt
Organism: Passer domesticus (house sparrow)
Lineage: Eukaryota; Metazoa; Chordata; Aves; Passeriformes; Passeridae
Exons: 5
Source: RefSeq, a predicted model, not a curated record